RNAcentral lists this long non-coding RNA (1009 nucleotides) under Ornithorhynchus anatinus (platypus). RNAcentral describes it as "lncRNA (ENSOANG00000042359.1)". The record is from RNAcentral. Lineage: Eukaryota; Metazoa; Chordata; Mammalia; Monotremata; Ornithorhynchidae.
UAACAUUUCAAUGCAAAGUGAUCCCUUACAGUUAAUCAAUCAAUUCUUGUUAAUGAGUUGAGAGUGAAAUGAGUGCUGACUACCCCCUGACUGAAUUAUCCCCGUGCCUGUCGUUGGCGGAAUGAGCCUCCCACGCAGAAAAUUCUUGGGACAAUAGUAGCACAACAGAACUCAAGCAGGAAAAUGACGGAGCAGGCCCAUCACUACGGCUAUCUUACUGGCUCGCUCGUCCCUGCCUGGUCCAGACGCAACCUCAGCCCAGAGGGGAUACGACGCUGCCGGCCAACUGCUUCGCCGUCCGCUCGGAUCUCGCUCCCUCCCUGUUGCAGGAUGCGCGGCCCCGCCAGCCCCUUACCCAGCUCCGCGCGGAGCCAUGGGAAGGGGUCUCGGCCCCUCGGAAACAAGAAGACUGGUCGGGGAAGCCCUAGCCGAGGGCUCUCCAGGAAGGCCUCGCUAGACAGCCCCGCUCAGGAUAGUACGGGUUCGCCCUCACAGAGUGGGGUCCUCUCUACUGGGAUCCAGGAGAAACGGAAACUGGGUCCGGGGCCCUCCCCGGGGCUGGAGAGAGAUCGGCCCGGUUCUUUUCUCUUUCCUUCCAGCUGCGAUGAGGAUGCCACCCAGACUGCCAAGCGCCGCUGUAUCCGGGUCUCUCCGCUGGCUGCAGAUGGCAGGAAGCUCGUGACCUCCAUUUCCAAGAAGCCUGGCUCAACCCCGUCCAUCAGAAGCCCAGUGCCAUUCCAGGUCCUGCUGGAUGGUGAACCCAUCACCGUGAAUGAGCUGGAGAUGGCCUUCCAGAGAUUCUUUGGUUCCCAGCGGUCAGGGCUGGAGGUCCCGACACUGAAGUGGGUGGAUGGCUCCGUCCUGAAGUCAGACCAGGAGGCCAAUCCCCACCUCUCCUCCCUCACAGCGCAGGCCAGAGGCAGGUCAAAUCCACUGAGCGACAAUGAGGACUUCUGCCUCAUGUCUGCGGUCUCCUCGCCCCGAGCCAUCUCCAUCCACAAGCUGCGGC